GGGCGUAAGAGCUCGUAGGUCGUUUGUCGCGUCGAUUGUGAAAAUCUGAGGCUCAACCUCAGACCUGCAGUCGAUACGGGCAAACUAGAGUGUGGUAGGGGAGACUGGAAUUCCUGGUGUAGCGGUGGAAUGCGCAGAUAUCAGGAGGAACACCAAUGGCGAAGGCAGGUCUCUGGGCCAUAACUGACACUGAGGAGCGAAAGUGCGGGGAGCGAACAGGAUUAGAUACCCUGGUAGUCCGCACCGUAAACGGUGGGCACUAGUUGUGGGAACCUUCCACGGUUUCCGCGACGCAGCAAACGCAUUAAGUGCCCCGCCUGGGGAGUACGAUCGCAAGAUUAAAACUCAAAGGAAUUGACGGGGCCCCGCACAAGCAGCGGAGCAUGCGGCUUAAUUCGACGCAACGCGAAGAACCUUACCAAGGCUUGACAUAUAGCGAAAAGUGGCAGAGAUGUCAUGUCCGCAAGGGCGCUAUACAGGUGGUGCAUGGUUGUCGUCAGCUCGUGUCGUGAGAUGUUGGGUUAAGUCCCGCAACGAGCGCAACCCUCGUUCUGUGUUACCAGCAUUCAGUUGGGGACUCACAGGAGACUGCCGGGGUCAACUCGGAGGAAGGUAAU
RNAcentral lists this ribosomal RNA (617 nucleotides) under uncultured Actinomycetes bacterium. Its description in RNAcentral is "bacterial SSU rRNA". It matches the Rfam family "Bacterial small subunit ribosomal RNA", at positions 556 to 1177 of the family's 1533-position model. Lineage: Bacteria; Bacillati; Actinomycetota; Actinomycetes. The record is from RNAcentral.